GCAAACUUGGUCAUUUAGAGGAAGUAAAAGUCGUAACAAGGUCUCCGUUGGUGAACCAGCGGAGGGAUCAUUACAGGACUCGCAAGACUCCCGUAAACCACUGUGAACUUACCUACAACCCGUUGCCUCGGCGGGUGCUCCGGGCGUCUUCGGACGCCCCGGGGCGCUCCAGCCCGCCGGCGGCCCCUAAACUCUGUUUUUAUAACGUUGGCAUCUCCGAGCAGACUAUAAACGAGUCAAAACUUUCAACAACGGAUCUCUUGGUUCUGGCAUCGAUGAAGAACGCAGC
Molecule: unclassified non-coding RNA, 289 nt
Filed under: uncultured fungus
Lineage: Eukaryota; Fungi
Description: partial contains small subunit ribosomal RNA, internal transcribed spacer 1, and 5.8S ribosomal RNA
Rfam family: Eukaryotic small subunit ribosomal RNA (bases 1-73)
Source: RNAcentral